UGGGGAAUAUUGCGCAAUGGGGGGAACCCUGACGCAGCAACGCCGCGUGAUUGAAGAAGGCCUUCGGGUUGUAAAGAUCUUUAACCGGGGACGAAGAAUGACGGUACCCGGGGAAUAAGCUCCGGCUAACUACGUGCCAGCAGCCGCGGUAAUACGUAGGGAGCAAGCGUUAUCCGGAUUUACUGGGUGUAAAGGGCGUGCAGGCGGGCUGGCAAGUCAGAAGUGAAAGGUGAGGGCUUAACCCUCAGACUGCUUUUGAAACUGCUGGUCUUGAGUGAUGGAGAGGCAGGCGGAAUUCCCAGUGUAGCGGUGAAAUGCGUAGAUAUUGGGAGGAACACCAGUGGCGAAGGCGGCCUGCUGGACAUUAACUGACGCUGAGGCGCGAAAGCGUGGGGAGCAAACAGG
This 405-nucleotide ribosomal RNA is filed under the name uncultured bacterium. Its description in RNAcentral is "bacterial SSU rRNA". It matches the Rfam family "Bacterial small subunit ribosomal RNA", at positions 355 to 776 of the family's 1533-position model. The record is from RNAcentral.